Molecule: ribosomal RNA, 292 nt
Filed under: uncultured bacterium
Lineage: Bacteria
Description: partial 16S ribosomal RNA
Rfam family: Bacterial small subunit ribosomal RNA
Source: RNAcentral
GUGUCAGCAGCCGCGGUAAUACGUAGGGGGCGAGCGUUGUCCGGAUUUAUUGGGCGUAAAGCGCACGCAGGCGGUCCGCUACGUUCGCACUGACAGUCUCCGGCUUAACUGGGGAAGUGGUGCGAAAACGGGCAGACUUGAGGGCUUCAGAGGGACAUGGAAUUCCGGGUGUAGUGGUGAAAUGCGUAGAUAUCCGGAGGAACACCAAUGGCGAAGGCAAUGUCCUGGGAAGUACCUGACGCUCAGGUGCGAAAGCUAGGGGAGCGAACGGGAUUAGAUACCCCCGUAGUCC